This 429-nucleotide ribosomal RNA is filed under the name uncultured archaeon. RNAcentral describes it as "bacterial SSU rRNA". It matches the Rfam family "Archaeal small subunit ribosomal RNA", at positions 474 to 903 of the family's 1478-position model. The record is from RNAcentral.
UACCUGCAGCUCAAGUGGUGACCGCUAUUAUUGGGCCUAAAACGUUCGUAGCCGGCUGAGUAAAUGCUUGGGUAAAUCGUGCCGCUUAACGGUACGAAUUCCGGGUAGACUGCUCAGCUUGAGACCGGGAGAAGCUAGAGGUACUCCUGGGGUAGAGGUGAAAUUCUGUAAUCCUGGGGGGACCACCAGUGGCGAAGGCGUCUAGCUAGAACGGGUCUGACGGUGAGGGACGAAACCCUGGGGCGCAAACCGGAUUAGGUACCCGGGUAGUCCAGUGCGCAAACGCUGCUUGCUUGAUGUUAGCUGGGCUCCGAGCUCAGCUAGUGUCGGAGAGAAGUUGUUAAGCAAGCUGCCUGGGAAGUACGAUCGCAAGAUUGAAACUUAAAGGAAUUGGCGGGGGAGCACAGCAACGGGUGGAGCGUGCGGUUU